RNAcentral lists this ribosomal RNA (499 nucleotides) under uncultured bacterium. RNAcentral's name for it is "partial 16S ribosomal RNA". It matches the Rfam family "Bacterial small subunit ribosomal RNA", at positions 899 to 1397 of the family's 1533-position model. The record is from RNAcentral.
ACUCAAAGGAAUAGACGGGGGCCCGCACAAGCGGUGGAGCAUGUGGUUUAAUUCGAAGCAACGCGAAGAACCUUACCAAAACUUGACAUCCUACUGAAUAUCUUCUAAUAGAGAUAGGCCUUUCGGGGACAGUAGAGACAGGUGGUGCAUGGUUGUCGUCAGCUCGUGUCGUGAGAUGUUGGGUUAAGUCCCGCAACGAGCGCAACCCUUAUCUUUAGUAGCCAUCAUUUAGUUGGGCACUCUAGAGAGACUGCCGUGGAUAACACGGAGGAAGGUGGGGAUGACGUCAAAUCAUCAUGCCCCUUAUGUUUUGGGCUACACACGUGCUACAAUGGCUGUUACAAAGAGACGCGAUGGGGCGACCUUAAGCAAAACUCAAAAAAACAGUCUCAGUUCGGAUUGUAGUCUGCAACUCGACUACAUGAAGCUGGAAUCGCUAGUAAUCUCGGAUCAGCAUGCCGAGGUGAAUACGUUCCCGGGCCUUGUACACACCGCCCGU